UAAAAACCGGUUCUCGUACGAUAACCGAAGUUAAGCAACGUCGAGCCUUGUUCAGUACCUAGAUGAGUAACCGCUUGGGAAUACCAAGUACUGUAA
This is a non-coding RNA of Acanthosepion pharaonis, 96 nucleotides long. Lineage: Eukaryota; Metazoa; Mollusca; Cephalopoda; Sepiida; Sepiidae. The record is from the annotation of a GenBank genome assembly.